CAGUAGGGAUCUUCCACAAUGGACGAAAGUCUGAUGGAGCAACGCCGCGUGAGUGAAGAAGGUUUUCGGAUCGUAAAACUCUGUUGUUGGAGAAGAAUGUAUCUGAUAGUAACUGAUCAGGUAGUGACGGUAUCCAACCAGAAAGCCACGGCUAACUACGUGCCAGCAGCCGCGGUAAUACGUAGGUGGCAAGCGUUGUCCGGAUUUAUUGGGCGUAAAGCGAGCGCAGGCGGUUUCUUAAGUCUGAUGUGAAAGCCUUCGGCUCAACCGAAGAAGUGCAUCGGAAACUGGGAAACUUGAGUGCAGAAGAGGACAGUGGAACUCCAUGUGUAGCGGUGAAAUGCGUAGAUAUAUGGAAGAACACCAGUGGCGAAGGCGGCUGUCUGGUCUGUAACUGACGCUGAGGCUCGAAAGCAUGGGUAGCAAACAGGAUUAGAUACCCUGGUAGUCCAUGCCGUAAACGAUGAGUGCUAGGUGUUGGAGGGUUUCCGCCCUUCAGUGCCGCAGCUAACGCAUUAAGCACUCCGCCUGGGGAGUACGACCGCAAGGUUGAAACUCAAAGGAAUUGACGGGCCCCCC
This 579-nucleotide ribosomal RNA is filed under the name Lactobacillus sp. RNAcentral describes it as "bacterial SSU rRNA". It matches the Rfam family "Bacterial small subunit ribosomal RNA", at positions 352 to 923 of the family's 1533-position model. The record is from RNAcentral. Lineage: Bacteria; Bacillati; Bacillota; Bacilli; Lactobacillales; Lactobacillaceae.